UGGGGAAUAUUGGACAAUGGGCGAAAGCCUGAUCCAGCCAUGCCGCGUGUGUGAAGAAGGUCUUCGGAUUGUAAAGCACUUUAAGUUGGGAGGAAGGGCAGUAAGCGAAUACCUUGCUGUUUUGACGUUACCGACAGAAUAAGCACCGGCUAACUCUGUGCCAGCAGCCGCGGUAAUACAGAGGGUGCAAGCGUUAAUCGGAAUUACUGGGCGUAAAGCGCGCGUAGGUGGUUCGUUAAGUUGAAGGUGAAAGCCCCGGGCUCAACCUGGGAACUGCAUCCAAAACUGGCGAGCUAGAGUAGGGCAGAGGGUGGUGGAAUUUCCUGUGUAGCGGUGAAAUGCGUAGAUAUAGGAAGGAACACCAGUGGCGAAGGCGACCACCUGGGCUCAUACUGACACUGAGGUGCGAAAGCGUGGGGAGCAAACAGG
RNAcentral lists this ribosomal RNA (429 nucleotides) under Pseudomonadota bacterium. Its description in RNAcentral is "Proteobacteria bacterium partial 16S ribosomal RNA". It matches the Rfam family "Bacterial small subunit ribosomal RNA", at positions 355 to 776 of the family's 1533-position model. Lineage: Bacteria; Pseudomonadati; Pseudomonadota. The record is from RNAcentral.